Long non-coding RNA from Thalassophryne amazonica, 173 nucleotides. RefSeq lists it as uncharacterized. NCBI's taxonomy places the organism in Eukaryota, Metazoa, Chordata, Actinopteri, Batrachoidiformes, Batrachoididae. The transcript has 3 exons. The record is from RefSeq and is a predicted model, not a curated record.
UCAGUGUCAGUUGAGAGUGUCAACUUGGGUGCCUGUAGGAUUUUUAAGGUCCAGCAGAUGUCAGUAUUCAGUGACACAGUAUCAAUACAGUUUGGCAAUGUGUUGAACCGCUUCAUGACGCCUCAUUGACCCAUCACUAAUGCUGACUUUUUUUUUUUUUUUUUUUUUUUAAA